Molecule: ribosomal RNA, 301 nt
Filed under: uncultured bacterium
Lineage: Bacteria
Description: partial 16S ribosomal RNA
Rfam family: Bacterial small subunit ribosomal RNA
Source: RNAcentral
CAGUAGCCGCGGUAAUACAGAGGGUGCGAUCGUUAAUCGGAUUUACUGGGCGUAAAGCGUGCGUAGGCGGCUUCUUAAGUCGGAUGUGAAAUCCCUGAGCUUAACUUAGGAAUUGCAUUCGAUACUGGGAAGCUAGAGUAUGGGAGAGGAUGGUAGAAUUCCAGGUGUAGCGGUGAAAUGCGUAGAGAUCUGGAGGAAUACCGAUGGCGAAGGCAGCCAUCUGGCCUAAUACUGACGCUGAGGUACGAAAGCAUGGGGAGCAAACAGGAUUAGAUACCCGAGUAGUCCCUGUCUCUUAUAC